UGCAGUUGAGAUAAGGACUGAGAUACGCCC
RNAcentral lists this non-coding RNA (30 nucleotides) under Homo sapiens (human). Lineage: Eukaryota; Metazoa; Chordata; Mammalia; Primates; Hominidae. The record is from RNAcentral.